ACUGCUACCGUUGAAACAGGCCCACCAAAAACUGAGCCAGCACCAAAAGAGGGUGCAGCUCCACCACCUACAGAUGCUAAAACAACAGCAAAACAACCGGCGGCCGCUCCAACUUCGGAGACAAAGGAACCUGAAAAACAUGUCCCAGGCCCGCCACCAUCUUCGGAUGCUAAAACAACCACAAAACAACCUGUGGACCUUCCAACAUCAAAGACAAAGGAACCCGAAAAACCAGAUAUUGUGAGUGAUGCAAAAGUCCCUCCUCAGCCAGGAAGUGUUCAGCCUGUAGACAAGAAGUCCACUCCAGAACCAUCUCAGCCUCAACCGGAAGUUAAAGUACAAGUUCAACAACCAGUAACAACCAGCAGUCCCCAGGCUCCUGCGGGUCCCACCAGUCCUCCUGCGGCGGCCCCUUUAACGACUCAGCCAGCAUCAAAACCGACACCAGAACCACAAGCUCCAGCAGCUGCAACAGGUAAAUCACCUUUUCUCACUUAAUUGAAGAUAAUACCUUUCCUUGUUUGUUCUUUAUGUCAA
This is a non-coding RNA of Pantherophis guttatus, 537 nucleotides long. Lineage: Eukaryota; Metazoa; Chordata; Lepidosauria; Squamata; Colubridae. The record is from RefSeq and is a predicted model, not a curated record.